GACAGAGGGUGCAAACGUUGCUCGGAAUCACUGGGCGUAAAGGGCGUGUAGGCGGGCAGGAAAGUCAGAUGUGAAAUCCCUGGGCUCAACCCAGGAACUGCAUUUGAAACUCCCUUUCUUGAGUACCGGAGAGGAAAGUGGAAUUCCUGGUGUAGAGGUGAAAUUCGUAGAUAUCAGGAGGAACACCAGUGGCGAAGGCGGCUUUCUGGACGGUAACUGACGCUGAGACGCGAAAGCGUGGGGAGCAAACAGG
Molecule: ribosomal RNA, 253 nt
Filed under: uncultured bacterium
Lineage: Bacteria
Description: partial 16S ribosomal RNA
Rfam family: Bacterial small subunit ribosomal RNA
Source: RNAcentral